Molecule: ribosomal RNA, 119 nt
Filed under: Smittium mucronatum
Lineage: Eukaryota; Fungi; Kickxellomycota; Harpellomycetes; Harpellales; Legeriomycetaceae
Source: RNAcentral
UAUUACAGCAAUUCACACCAGAAGGCACCAAAUCCUGUCCAAUCUUUGAAGCUAAGCUGUUUAUAGCGUCUUCAGUACUGUAUUGGGGGGCCCCACGGGAAUAAGACGUGCCAAAAUAU